ACCCAGAUGACGAGUCUUAAAUAGGACGAAACUCGCGUUCUGGAU
RNAcentral lists this non-coding RNA (45 nucleotides) under Schistosoma mansoni. The record is from RNAcentral. Lineage: Eukaryota; Metazoa; Platyhelminthes; Trematoda; Strigeidida; Schistosomatidae.